ACAAGCGGCGGAGCAUGCGAUUAAUUCGAUGCAACGCGAAGAACCUUACCAAGGCUUGACAUACACCGGUAACGCCCAGAGAUGGGUGCCCCUUUGUGGUCGGUGUACAGGUGGUGCAUGGUUGUCGUCAGCUCGUGUCGUGAGAUGUUGGGUUAAGUCCCGCAACGAGCGCAGCCCUCGUCCUAUGUUGCCAGCGGGUCAUGGCCGGGGACUCAUGGGGGACUGCCGGGGUCAACUCGGAGGAAGGUGGGGAUGACGUCAAAUCAUCAUGCCCCUUAUGUCUUGGGCUUCACGCAUGCUACAAUGGCCGGUACAAAGGGCUGCGAUACCGCGAGGUGGAGCGAAUCCCAGAAAGCCGGUCUCAGUUCGGAUUGGGGUCUGCAACUCGACCCCAUGAAGUCGGAGUCGCUAGUAAUCGCGGAUCAGCACGCCGCGGUGAAUACGUUCCCGGGCCUU
Molecule: ribosomal RNA, 456 nt
Filed under: uncultured Kribbia sp.
Lineage: Bacteria; Bacillati; Actinomycetota; Actinomycetes; Micrococcales; Intrasporangiaceae
Description: bacterial SSU rRNA
Rfam family: Bacterial small subunit ribosomal RNA
Source: RNAcentral